This 375-nucleotide ribosomal RNA is filed under the name uncultured Glomeromycotina. Its description in RNAcentral is "eukaryotic LSU rRNA". Lineage: Eukaryota; Fungi; Glomeromycota. The record is from RNAcentral.
UUGAAAGGGAAACGAUUGAAGUCAGUCAUACCAACGGGAAAUCAACCUUUUGAGCUUGGUCUCGUGGGUUUUGAAGAGUUUCAAAGCCUUCGGAUUCGCGGGAUCGGGAUCUCUUGGUGUACUUUUUCGUACGGUUAGUCAACAUCGGUUUUGAAUGUCAUAAAAUGACUGGAGGAAUGUAGCUUCGAUCUCGUAUUGAAGUGUUAUAGCCUUUGGUAGAUGUGAUGUUUGAGACCGAGGAUUGCAACGGAUACCCUUCAGGGCUAUUCGUCUGAUCUCUGAUACGUUGCCUUGAUGUUGAAAGCUUGCUUAUGAUGUUAGGGUAUUACGGUCAAAAGGUUAGAACGAAUUACAUUCGUUAAGGAUGUUGACGUA